AUGGAUACUAGUUUAAAAACACAUAACCGAAGCCUCAGAAAGAAAGCAGCAGUAUUCGUGCCGACCCGCCCGCACGCUAUGGGCCCUCUUCCUCAUUACAGCCCCAGAGAGGACCAAGGUUCAUCUGCCAUGUGUCCGGCGCUGCGCCAGAGGUCACUUCUUCCAUUGAUGCAUCCGCAAAUGUAUGAGAGGUUCCCUGCAUGGCAUGUGUUGAGUCAUGGACACUAGAACCUGUUAUUAGUGUUUUAAAGAGUUAGGGUUUAGUAAGAAGUAACAGUGAGUUUUGAUUCUCUGUAUUUCUAGAUGAAUGGCUCCAUGUCAGGCAGUACCGACUGCAUUAAUGCACUCAUGGACUCCAUGCUUCAAGCCAUAUACUGGACCAGAUUAAUGAACACAUUUACUGUUCUGCAUAAUCAGCAUAUAUGUCCUUGAGAGUCACCGCAAAGCUGUAAAGCAAUGACUUGAAUGUGAUAAAGAGAAAGCUUCUUAUCUAAUCAUGAUGUGUUUAGGAUUCCAUGCUGAUUCCAUGUCUGGACUAUGAGACUGAACACGCUGCAGGAGAAUCAAAGCCAACGCUCAGGACAAAGAGCAGAUGUUCGCUAGAUAACCUCUCUCUGGGCAAUCUUGGCACCCUAACCAGACAAGGAUUUCCUGGGUAAACUUCAAGUCGGCUGUGUUGGGAGGGAUUCACAAAGGCCGGGCUGAAGUUGAGCUUUGUGCAGAUGGUCAUACGCUAUGUCUCCCACAUAUAUAUCAGUGGGAUCAGGAACAGUAAAAGCUCAUUCCUAGAGCUAUGUGCGUACCUUAGUUGACUGCACAUCAAUCAUAGGCCUAUUUAACAGAUAGGAGCAAACAUGAUCAUAACUGUGAAGUCUGUCAGUGAUGCCAAGAUAUACAGUGUCUUCGGAAAGUAUUCAGACCCCUUAACUUUUUGUUAAGUUACAGCCUUAUUCUAAAAUGGAUUCAAUUGUGUUUUUUCUCAUCAAUCUACACACAAUACAAAUGACAAAUCUAAAAUCAAAAAUUUUGUGAAGUUACAAUAAAUAAUAAUUUUAAAAAAUCACAUUAACAUAAGUGUUCAGACCCUUUACUCAGUACUUUGUUGAAGCACUUAUGGCAGUGACUAC
Molecule: long non-coding RNA, 1127 nt
Filed under: Oncorhynchus mykiss (rainbow trout)
Lineage: Eukaryota; Metazoa; Chordata; Actinopteri; Salmoniformes; Salmonidae
Description: lncRNA (ENSOMYG00000014337.2)
Source: RNAcentral